UACGGAGGGUGCAAGCGUUGUCCGGAAUCACUGGGCGUAAAGGGCGCGUAGGCGGCUCGGUAAGUAGGGGGUGAAAUCCUGCGGCUUAACCGCAGGGCUGCCUUCUAAACUGUCGAGCUUGAGCACGGUAGAGGCAGAUGGAAUUCCCGGUGUAGCGGUGGAAUGCGUAGAGAUCGGGAAGAACAUCAGUGGCGAAGGCGGCAUCCUGGACCGGUAUUGACGCUGAGGCGCGAAAGCUAGGGGAGCAAACGGG
Molecule: ribosomal RNA, 253 nt
Filed under: uncultured bacterium
Lineage: Bacteria
Description: partial 16S ribosomal RNA
Rfam family: Bacterial small subunit ribosomal RNA
Source: RNAcentral